GGAUUAGAUACCCUGGUAGUCCACGCCCUAAACGAUGUGUGCUAGACGUUGGGGGGCUUGCCCUUCGGUGUCGUAGCUAACGUGUUAAGCACACCGCCUGGGGAGUACGGUCGCAAGAUUAAAACUCAAAGGAAUUGACGGGGGCCCGCACAAGCGGUGGAGCAUGUGGUUUAAUUCGACGCAACGCGCAGAACCUUACCAGCCCUUGACAUGGUGGUUUCGGUUUCCAGAGAUGGAUUCCUUCAGUUCGGCUGGACCAUCACAGGUGCUGCAUGGCUGUCGUCAGCUCGUGUCG
This 295-nucleotide ribosomal RNA is filed under the name uncultured bacterium. Its description in RNAcentral is "partial 16S ribosomal RNA". It matches the Rfam family "Bacterial small subunit ribosomal RNA", at positions 775 to 1067 of the family's 1533-position model. The record is from RNAcentral.